This 22-nucleotide non-coding RNA is filed under the name Arabidopsis thaliana (thale cress). The record is from RNAcentral. Lineage: Eukaryota; Viridiplantae; Streptophyta; Magnoliopsida; Brassicales; Brassicaceae.
UGUGGUCAUUUCCGGCAGUGAU